This 305-nucleotide unclassified non-coding RNA is filed under the name plant metagenome. RNAcentral describes it as "partial contains 5.8S ribosomal RNA, internal transcribed spacer 2, and large subunit ribosomal RNA". The stretch from base 1 to 105 matches the Rfam family "5.8S ribosomal RNA", at positions 50 to 154 of the family's 154-position model. The record is from RNAcentral.
GAAAUGCGAUAAGUAAUGUGAAUUGCAGAAUUCAGUGAAUCAUCGAAUCUUUGAACGCACAUUGCGCCCGCCAGUAUUCUGGCGGGUAUGCCUGUUCGAGCGUCAUUUCAACCAUCAAGCCCCCGGCUUGUGUUGGGGACCUGCGGCUGCCCGCAGGCCCUGAAAAACAGUGGCGGGCUUGCUGUCACACCGAGCGUAGUAGCAUACAUUCUCGCUCAGGGCGUGCUGCGGGUUCCGGCCGUUAAACGACCUUCAUAACCCAAGGUUGACCUCGGAUCAGGUAGGAAGACCCGCUGAACUUAAGC